AAAGGGCCUCUCUUUUAUCUUCCUCCUUUUACUUCCUCCUCAUGCUGCUCGCUUAUUAGUGAUCACACAUACGCUGUCUGCUUCAUACAAACACUCAUCCACGCCUGAUAAGACACACACACCGGAGCUAUGACCCAACCAAACCAGAGCCGGUCCACGCGAGGAGCCCUGCAUACCAGAACGACAGACCCGAGGAACUCAAAGGUCUUUUCACACCUUUACCUCUCUUUUUCUGAUCUAGACCCUUCUCUUAGAGUAUUUGACAGACUGUGAUUGACACUCGAUUUAAGGGGGUGUCAGUUUGUCAAAUACCCCAAGAGAGAGGUCACGAGUCUCCGAAGAGCUCUGCUACACCUCGUUUGACCCAGGAUCUUCUGUUACACACAUUUAACCGUGUUUGCAGCAGUUGUGUACGUAUAGAGUUCACUUUUGUAUGUGUAAAAUGCUAAGGGAGAGAUUGAAUAAACAGAAUGGACCUUAUCAUGCACACACAUGUGCACACAUGUAUGGACAAUGGAAACUUGUAUGUAAUGUGUUUUUAUGAAUAUCUAUUUCAGUGGUUUUCAACUGUUGGGUCUUGACCCAAAAGUGGGUUGAAGGUCUGUUUUGGGUCACAGACAGCAUGGACAAACAAGUCUAAAUGCAGUUAAUUAAAAGCAACUAUCCAUAUUGAUAGUUUGGAUAGCAACGAAUAGGUGUAUCUACUUUUACUUUUUACCAUAUUUUGCAUUGUUGCUAUCAAAAGCUGUGCAUCCAUUUAAAGUCUAUGGUAUUCUGGUGCAAAUUCAUCUGUCACCUGGAAAUAUGGCUAAUAGUAAAACAAUAUUUGACCAAGUGUUUGGUCCACAUGGUAAAUUAGACUUCUGCUGUUGUUUAUGGAUUUAGAAAAUUGUUGAUUAUUCUAUUCAGUCCAUGUUUGAUUGGAAAUAAUUUUUUGUCACUUUUGUAUGAUAAACAAGUUUAGAACUGCAUUGGGUCGCCACUUGAUGGCCAAACCAGUUGAGAACCAUUGCCUUUUGGUAAUGACUGCACAUUUUCACUGUAUAAAGUGUCAGAUAAAAGUUUGCUUAAAAUAUCAUUUUUUAUUUUUUUAUUUUGAUUGUUUGCUUAAAAGAGAUCAAAUAAACAGAAUGAACCUAAAGCCUUGUCACAUACAUGUCUUGUUGGAAAAUAGUUUAAACAUCCACAUGUUUUUUUUAUUUUUAUUUUUAUUUUUUUAUAAUCUAAUUAUCAUUUAAAUACUAAUGGUUUAUAGGAGAGCUACACUGCUUUUAGCAAUCCACAUAUUUGUUUGUGUAUAAGCUCUACACCACUGCAAUUUUCAUGGACGGAUGGGCGGAUGGAUGUAAGAGAAUAUAAACAGAUGAAAAAUUUGCUUUUGCAAUACCAGAUAUGUACCCUUAACACAGUGCUGUGUUGAUUUGUCAGGCGCCAUUAUGUUAAAGGCACAUACUUUUACAGUCUCUACCUUUACACUCGUGGAAGAAAAGGUUUGAAUCCUAAAGAACAUUUUUUUCUAAGGGUGUAGUGUUUAGCUUGCAGUGCACAUUCACAUAUGUGGAUGACAGUUUCAGUUUGCAAGCUACUAUCUACAGAAAACUGAAAUGCAGUUGUGAAAUGUCUGUGUCUCAGUGUUAGUGUGUGUGUAUGUGUGUAUGUAUGUGUGUUGUAAUGCAUGUGGGUGUGUGUUAUCUGUUAUCUGCAAAUUAAAUCUAGCCACGUUUUCUUAGUUUUAGAAAUGCAGUUCUGUGUAAACUACCAAUGGAAACUACUUUUUCUUUUGAAAUCAUAUAUUACCAGGUUAAUCUAAUUAGAAGCUCAAUCUAAAUUACAUUUGCAUAUCCAGAAGUAAAUAUAGCAGUCCUUGCAGGGAAGCAAAAUAAUAAUUUUAGAUAAGUAUAGGUUUCAGGCCUUUGGUUCUGCAUAAAUGAAAUUCUGCAUCAGAGCCACUCAGCGUCCUUCUCGUUUUCUGUCAGCUGUUUACGAGAAUCAACACAUUAGAUGACCUUCACACGGCCACAUACUUGGGUUCAGAAAGAGCUAGAGGAAUGCAAAGGGGUACCAGAAUGCAGGGGUCUACAGGUAAUUUUUUUAUUUUAUUUAUUAAAGGCACUUGAAGCGAUUUCAGACUGCUUCAUUUUGCAAGUCUCAACGACACACCAUCUCUCAAAUAUGCUCCUACCCUUCAAAGACGUGUCAGGAAUCAGAUGUCAACAAACAUGCAAAAUGAUGUUCAGACAACUAUAAAUACCUAUUUCAUUGAUAUCUUUCUGCACAUUUUACUGUAUGCAUGGUGUUAAAAAAAAUCACCUUUUAGUAGCACUUCAGUGAGGACCAGUUUUGUCUAAUACUCUUUUAUUUACAAUUUGAAGUAAUCCAUUGGUGUUGGCGAUAUGGCAAUUCUGGGCAAAACUCCCAUGCAGCCUUGCAUUGAGUGGAGAGAGCAGCAGAGGCACUUCUUGGAUGUGCGAGUUACCCAUGCCAUGGGCACUGACACACGCCACCCCUGGCCCAUACAGACACUGGCUUUUGGACCUGAUGCUAAUAACAGCUUGGAUGGUCCUUCUCCUCUUUGGCCC
Myxocyprinus asiaticus (Chinese sucker) is the source of this 2579-nucleotide long non-coding RNA. RefSeq lists it as uncharacterized. The record is from RefSeq and is a predicted model, not a curated record. NCBI's taxonomy places the organism in Eukaryota, Metazoa, Chordata, Actinopteri, Cypriniformes, Catostomidae. The transcript is spliced from 3 exons.